RNAcentral lists this ribosomal RNA (253 nucleotides) under uncultured Eubacteriales bacterium. RNAcentral describes it as "uncultured Clostridiales bacterium partial 16S ribosomal RNA". It matches the Rfam family "Bacterial small subunit ribosomal RNA", at positions 524 to 776 of the family's 1533-position model. The record is from RNAcentral. Lineage: Bacteria; Bacillati; Bacillota; Clostridia; Eubacteriales.
UACGUAGGGGGCAAGCGUUAUCCGGAUUUACUGGGUGUAAAGGGAGCGUAGACGGCGAUGCAAGUCUGAAGUGAAAGGCGGGGGCUCAACCCCUGGACUGCUUUGGAAACUGUAUGGCUGGAGUGCAGAAGAGGACAGUGGAACUCCAUGUGUAGCGGUGGAAUGCGUAGAUAUAUGGAAGAACACCAGUGGCGAAGGCGGCUGUCUGGUCUGCAACUGACGCUGAGGCUCGAAAGCAUGGGUAGCGAACAGG